AACAGUUAGAAAUGACUGCUAAUACCGGAUAAUUCAUAUUUAGAUAACUAGAUAUGCUAAAAGGAGCCUUUAAAGCUUCACUUUGGGAUGAGCUUGCGGCGCAUUAGUUAGUUGGUGGGGUAAUGGCCUACCAAGACUACGAUGCGUAUCCGAGCUGAGAGGCUGAACGGACACAUUGGGACUGAGACACGGCCCAAACUCCUACGGGAGACAGCAGUUAGGAAUAUUCGUCAAUGGGGGAAACCCUGAACGAGCAAUGCCGCGUGAGUGAUGAAGGUCUUUAAUUGAUCGUAAAACUCUGUUGUAAGAGACGAAACCACAGUAUAGGAAAUGAUACUGUGCUGACGGUAUCUUACCAGAAAGCCCCGGCUAACUACGUGCCAGCAGCAGC
Molecule: ribosomal RNA, 391 nt
Filed under: uncultured bacterium
Lineage: Bacteria
Description: bacterial SSU rRNA
Rfam family: Bacterial small subunit ribosomal RNA
Source: RNAcentral